UUGUGUUUCCUGGAAAAGCCACUCCCUUUUGAGAGUCAAGCCCAGGGAGUGUCAACCACUAACUGCCACCUCACAGGCCCGGACCCUGCUCUCCCACCCUGCCUGGUUGGCCCUGUCCCACCACGGCCCUGCGGGAGAGGACCUGUGGGGCCAGGGGAUGGCAGCACUUCCCAUUCUGUGGGGCUGGGUGCUCGUGGCUGCUGUCAGGACAGGGGCCACUUCAAGCUUGAUGGAGCAAAGGCCCAAGUGGGCCCUGGUGCGACUCGGACGGGCUGAAAUGCUGCAGUGCUUUCUGAAGGAUACCCAGUACCCCUAUAUGAGCUGGUACCAACAGGAUCUCCAGGGGCAACUCCAGGUGCUGGCCACUCUGAGGUUUUCUGGGGACAAGGAGGUCGUAUCCCUUCCUGGAGCGGAUUACCAGAUCGUGCGUGUGGAUGACAAGGAGCUGAGGCUGCAUGUGGCCAAUGUGACACAGGGCAGAACCCUGUACUGCAGCUGUAGCACAGACACAGUCCUCCCUUCUGGCCUCUUUACUGCACGUGGACUCAGCCAGCAUCAUAGCACAGGGGUGGCCCACAGGCUCUGGAAGACUCGCCUGCAGGCCUUGGCUCUGUCAUCUGUGAGCUGUGGGGAAGACAUCCUCGUUCUGAAACUUAGUUUCUGA
This is a non-coding RNA of Artibeus jamaicensis (Jamaican fruit-eating bat), 664 nucleotides long. Lineage: Eukaryota; Metazoa; Chordata; Mammalia; Chiroptera; Phyllostomidae. The record is from the annotation of a RefSeq genome assembly.